Long non-coding RNA from Oncorhynchus tshawytscha (Chinook salmon), 1955 nucleotides. The record is from Ensembl. Lineage: Eukaryota; Metazoa; Chordata; Actinopteri; Salmoniformes; Salmonidae.
GUGUGUGUGUGUGUGUGUGUGUGUGUGUGUGUGUGUGUGUGUGUGUGUGUGUGUGUGUGUGCGUGGACAACGCAUACAAGGCGGGUAGCUUGUUUUAAAGCCAACUGAUAGAUUUGGGUUCAGUUGUCUUAACAAAACAAAAUCUUCAUCCGUGAAAAUGUUUUCAUCCUGGAGGAGACUGUUCAGGAGGCAGAGGAGAUACAUGCAAAUCCAUGUUAUUUCUAAGGUGAUUGUUAGUUUAAAGUAUAUGCAGUGAUUCUUGAAUAUAACUAUAGCCUAACAGAUACCGCAAUUGUUUUCUACCAACAGGAAAGAACCGUUAGUACAGCAUGCCAAACUGACCCCCUGGGUGCCAGAGUGUUCCUGUGCUGCGUGGAGAAGAGGUCCACUGGAACCCUCAAUAAAGAGGUCCACCAGGACCCUCACUAAAGAGGUUUACCGGGACCCUCACUAAAGAGGUCCACCGGGACCCUCAUUAAAGAGGUUCACCGGGACCCUCAAUAAAGAAGAUUACCGGGACCAUCACUAAAGAGGUCCACCGGGACCAUCACUAAAGAGGUCCACCGGGACCCUCACUAAAGAGGUCCACCGGGACCCUCACUAAAGAGGUCCACCGGGACCAUCACUGAAGAGGUCCACCGGCACCCUCAUUAAAGAGGUUCACCGGGACCCUCAAUAAAGAAGAUUACCGGGACCAUCACUAAAGAGGUCCACCGGGACCCUCACUAAAGAGUUCCACCGGGACCCUCACUAAAGAAGAUUACCGGGACCAUCACUAAAGAGGUCCACCGGGACCAUCACUAAAGAGGUCCACCGGGACCAUCACUAAAGCGGUCAACCGGGACCAUCACUAAAGAGGUCCACCGGGACCCUCAUUAAAGAGGUUCACCGGGACCCUCAAUAAAGAAGAUUACCGGGACCAUCACUAAAGAGGUCCACUGGGACCCUCACUAAAGAGUUCCACCGGAACCCUCACUAAAGAAGAUUACCGGGACCAUCACUAAAGAGGUCAACUGGUCCCAUCACUAAAGAGGUCCACUGGGACCAUCACUAAAGAGGUCAACUGGUCCCAUCACUAAAGAGGUCCACUGGGACCCUCAUUAAAGAGGUUCACCGGGACCCUCACUAAAGAGUUCCACCGGGACCCUCAGUAAAGAAGAUUACCGGGACCAUCAGGACUACACCACAGAUGGAUUACCAGGACUACACCACAGAUGGAGCUGACGGAGAGAGAGAUCAGUGAAGACCAGGACUACACCACAGAUGGAGCUGAUGGAGAGAGAUCAGUGGACCAGAACUACACCACAGAUGGAGCUGACGGAGAGAGAGAUCAGUGAAGACCAGAACUAUACCAGAGAUGGAGCUGACGGAGAGAGAGAUCAGUGAAGACCAGAACUACACCACAGAUGGAGCUGACGGAGAGAGAGAUCAGUGAAGACCAGAACUACACCACAGAUGGAGCUGACGGAGAGAGAGAUCAGUGAAGACCAGAACUAUACCAGAGAUGGAGCUGACGGAGAGAGAGAUCAGUGAAGACCAGGACUACACCACAGAUGGAGCUGACGGAGAGAGAGAUCAGUGAAGACCAGGACUCGCUGUAUGAACCUGAGAGCUCAGAAUCACAAUCAUCGCAGUGCGAGCCAAGAUAUACUAUCGAUCACUUUGGGGGAGCGGGGUGGUGUUCCCGAAAAAUGGAGAAGGAGCAGGUCAUUCAACCGAGAGUUCAAAAGAUAUACCCCGUCCAUAAAUGGAAUCGGAGCGGAAUUGUUUAUUUUUUUUACCCUGUUUCAAUGGAUGUGCUACCUUGUCCCGGUUCUGCUGUUUCGACUCUCUCUCUCAACCUAUUGAUGCUCAGCUAUGAAAAGCCAACUGACAUUUGCUCCUGAGGUGUUGAACUGUUGCACCCUCUAUAACCACUGUGGUGUUGAACUGUUGCACCCUCUAUAACCACUGUG